GACGAACGCUGGCGGCGUGCCUAAUACAUGCAAGUAGAACGCUGAAGGAGGAGCUUGCUUCUCUGGAUGAGUUGCGAACGGGUGAGUAACGCGUAGGUAACCUGCCUGGUAGCGGGGGAUAACUAUUGGAAACGAUAGCUAAUACCGCAUAAGAGUAGAUGUUGCAUGACAUUUGCUUAAAAGGUGCAAUUGCAUCACUACCAGAUGGACCUGCGUUGUAUUAGCUAGUUGGUGGGGUAACGGCUCACCAAGGCGACGAUACAUAGCCGACCUGAGAGGGUGAUCGGCCACCCUGGGACUGAGACACGGCCCAGACUCCUACGGGAGGCAGCAGUAGGGAAUCUUCGGCAAUGGACGGAAGUCUGACCGAGCAACGCCGCGUGAGUGAAGAAGGUUUUCGGAUCGUAAAGCUCUGUUGUAAGAGAAGAACGAGUGUGAGAGUGGAAAGUUCACACUGUGACGGUAUCUUACCAGAAAGGGACGGCUAACUACGUG
This 495-nucleotide ribosomal RNA is filed under the name uncultured bacterium. RNAcentral describes it as "partial 16S ribosomal RNA". It matches the Rfam family "Bacterial small subunit ribosomal RNA", at positions 28 to 507 of the family's 1533-position model. The record is from RNAcentral.